UAUUUUCAAUUGAAGAUGACUGGAGCAGAAAAACAAUACGAACGACGGAGCUAAACAAAAAUACAACAAAGCAGCAACAAUUCCAGAAGAUACAACUGAAUAAAAUGAGAAUAUUCGCACCAAAACAACGGAGCAAAUUGUCCCGCGUCACUUCUGAACGACAUCAUGAGCAAUACUAGGGAAGAAACUAAAGCUCACUUUGAUGGAAAAACCGAAGCUACUGUCAAUUAUGAUGUCUUCAAUUAUGUGUUGGGUGUAGUUAUGUGUAUUGCGUUUGUUACUUGCAUGUGUGUUUGCUCUUUUAUGUGCAUCUGUCAAUUCAGAAC
Spinacia oleracea (spinach) is the source of this 326-nucleotide long non-coding RNA. RefSeq lists it as uncharacterized. The transcript has 4 exons. NCBI's taxonomy places the organism in Eukaryota, Viridiplantae, Streptophyta, Magnoliopsida, Caryophyllales, Amaranthaceae. The record is from RefSeq and is a predicted model, not a curated record.